Long non-coding RNA from Bombus impatiens (common eastern bumble bee), 391 nucleotides. RefSeq lists it as uncharacterized. The transcript is spliced from 3 exons. NCBI's taxonomy places the organism in Eukaryota, Metazoa, Arthropoda, Insecta, Hymenoptera, Apidae. The record is from RefSeq and is a predicted model, not a curated record.
GAGGCAGGAAAUCUACAAACUUUUAUUGAUUGGGAGAAAUUAGACAGGAAGGUACAUUAAACUGGUUAAUUCUUUCCCGUCCUUGAUGUUCAAUGUCUAACGAAGGAAAUUAUUCAUGAAGCGAGAUAAGAAGUAGUUAUGAAUUAAAACCAUGCGUGUGCGAUUUUAUUCCUGUGGAAGAAGUAUUAUAUGUAGAGACGAAUAGAAUGUCAGAGACGCAUGCGAUGAAUAAAUAUUAAAUCAUAUACUGCAAAAAUCAAAUAGUUUUGCCUUUCUAGAAAAAUAAUUUAUAAUCUACUUGUCAUAUUAUACACUUCAACGCUAUUUAUAUAAAUUUAUAAUCUUCACAACCUACAAUUUCUUAUAAUACAAUAAAGUACAAAAUAUGUGC